Molecule: transfer RNA, 72 nt
Filed under: Mesocricetus auratus (golden hamster)
Lineage: Eukaryota; Metazoa; Chordata; Mammalia; Rodentia; Cricetidae
Rfam family: tRNA
About the family: Transfer RNA (tRNA) molecules are approximately 80 nucleotides in length. Their secondary structure includes four short double-helical elements and three loops (D, anti-codon, and T loops). Further hydrogen bonds mediate the characteristic L-shaped molecular structure. tRNAs have two regions of fundamental functional importance: the anti-codon, which is responsible for specific mRNA codon recognition, and the 3' end, to which the tRNAs corresponding amino acid is attached (by aminoacyl-tRNA synthetases). tRNAs cope with the degeneracy of the genetic code in two manners: having more than one tRNA (with a specific anti-codon) for a particular amino acid; and 'wobble' base-pairing, i.e. permitting non-standard base-pairing at the 3rd anti-codon position.
Source: Rfam by way of RNAcentral
GCAGUUGUGGCUCAGAGGUCAGAGCACUGGCUGCUUUUCCAGAGGUCCUGAGUUCCAUUCCCAGCAGCCACA